This 72-nucleotide transfer RNA is filed under the name Camelus bactrianus (Bactrian camel). It matches the Rfam family "tRNA". Rfam says of the family: Transfer RNA (tRNA) molecules are approximately 80 nucleotides in length. Their secondary structure includes four short double-helical elements and three loops (D, anti-codon, and T loops). Further hydrogen bonds mediate the characteristic L-shaped molecular structure. tRNAs have two regions of fundamental functional importance: the anti-codon, which is responsible for specific mRNA codon recognition, and the 3' end, to which the tRNAs corresponding amino acid is attached (by aminoacyl-tRNA synthetases). tRNAs cope with the degeneracy of the genetic code in two manners: having more than one tRNA (with a specific anti-codon) for a particular amino acid; and 'wobble' base-pairing, i.e. permitting non-standard base-pairing at the 3rd anti-codon position. RNAcentral also lists the same sequence under 2 other names. The record is from Rfam by way of RNAcentral. Lineage: Eukaryota; Metazoa; Chordata; Mammalia; Artiodactyla; Camelidae.
AAGGGUAUAGCUCAGUGGUAGAGUGUGUGCUUAGCAUGCGUGAGGUCCUGAGUUCAAUCCCCAGUACCUCCA